GACGAACGCUGGCGGCGUGCUUAACACAUGCAAGGCGAACGGAGAGGCCCUGCUUUUGGGGGGGGCUCGAGUGGCGAACGGGCGAGUAACACGUGAGUAACCUGCCCGUUACUUUGGGAUAACUUCAGGAAACUGGGGCUAAUACCGGAUAGGAGCUUCUGCGGCAUGGUGGGGGUUGGAAAGUUUCGGCGGUUGGGCAUGGACUCGCGGCUUUUCAGCUUGUUGGUGGGGUAGUGGCUUACCAAGGCUUUGACGGAUAGCCGGCCUGAGAGGGUGUCCGGCCACAUCGGCACUGGGGUACCGCCCCGACUACUCCAGGGGGGCGCAGUCGGGAACCUUGCACGAUGGCCGGCCGCCUGAUGCAGGCACCCCGCGUCCGCGAUAAAGGCCUUCGGGUUGUAUACCGCUUUCGCCUGUGACGAAGAGUGAGUGACGGUAAUGGGUAGAGCAGCACCGGCUAACUACGUG
RNAcentral lists this ribosomal RNA (468 nucleotides) under uncultured bacterium. RNAcentral's name for it is "partial 16S ribosomal RNA". It matches the Rfam family "Bacterial small subunit ribosomal RNA", at positions 28 to 507 of the family's 1533-position model. The record is from RNAcentral.